Molecule: ribosomal RNA, 254 nt
Filed under: uncultured bacterium
Lineage: Bacteria
Description: partial 16S ribosomal RNA
Rfam family: Bacterial small subunit ribosomal RNA
Source: RNAcentral
UACGAAGGGGGCGAGCGUUGUCCGGAUUUAUUGGGCGUAAAGAGCUCGUAGGCGGUUCGAUAAGUCGGCUGUGAAAUCUCCACGCUUAACGUGGAGGGGUCAGUCGAUACUGUCGUGACUCGAGUCCGGUAGGGGAGAAUGGAAUUCCCGGUGUAGCGGUGAAAUGCGCAGAGAUCGGGAGGAACACCCGUAGCGAAGGCGGUUCUCUGGGCCGGUACUGACGCUGAGGAGCGAAAGCGUGGGGAGCAAACAGG